Molecule: long non-coding RNA, 292 nt
Filed under: Mytilus galloprovincialis (Mediterranean mussel)
Lineage: Eukaryota; Metazoa; Mollusca; Bivalvia; Mytilida; Mytilidae
Source: RNAcentral
AGGAAAUGCACUACGAAAUAACUGUGUACUCGGACCACAUGAUCAUGGUUUCGUUGAAAGUGUUUUAUAUCGAUCCUCACCGCGUUGGUGCACAAUGUUCGACUGAAACUAUAUUUUUUGCAUUAUCAAAUCUAAAUGAGAAAUACCAUAGAAUUAGUAAUCAUAAAUCAUAGAAAAGACAAGACAAGACAAGACAAGACAAGACAAGACAAGACAACACAAUAUUUUAUUUGAGUCUCACCUCUUAUAAAACAUUUACAUAAUAUUACAAAUUUCCAAUAUAAAACAAGAG